CCUACGGGUGGCAGCAGUGAGGAAUAUUGGUCAAUGGCCGGAAGGCUGAACCAGCCAUGCCGCGUGCAGGAAGACGGCUCUAUGGGUUGUAAACUGCUUUUGUACAAGGAUAAACCUGUCUACGUGUAGUUAGUUGCAUGUACCGUACGAAUAAGGAUCGGCUAACUCCGUGCCAGCAGCCGCGGUAAUACGGAGGAUCCAAGCGUUAUCCGGAUUUAUUGGGUUUAAAGGGUGCGUAGGCGGAUUGAUAAGUUAGAGGUGAAAUGUCCGAGCUUAACUCGGGAACUGCCUCUAAUACUGUUGAUCUAGAGAGUAGAUGCGGUAGGCGGAAUGUAUGGUGUAGCGGUGAAAUGCUUAGAGAUCAUACAUAACACCGAUUGCGAAGGCAGCUUACCAAUCUAUAUCUGACGUUGAGGCACGAAAGCGUGGGGAGCAAACAGGAUUAGAUACCCCAGUAGUC
This 460-nucleotide ribosomal RNA is filed under the name uncultured bacterium. RNAcentral describes it as "partial 16S ribosomal RNA". It matches the Rfam family "Bacterial small subunit ribosomal RNA", at positions 338 to 795 of the family's 1533-position model. The record is from RNAcentral.